UACGAAGGUGGCAAGCGUUGUUCGGAUUUACUGGGCGUACAGGGAGCGUAGGCGGUUGGAUAAGCCCUCCGUGAAAUCUCCAGGCUUAACCCGGAAAGUGCAGAGGGGACUGUUCAGCUAGAGGAUGGGAGAGGAGCGCGGAAUUCCCGGUGUAGCGGUGAAAUGCGUAGAGAUCGGGAGGAAGGCCGGUGGCGAAGGCGGCGCUCUGGAACAUUUCUGACGCUGAGGCUCGAAAGCGUGGGGAGCAAACAGG
This 253-nucleotide ribosomal RNA is filed under the name uncultured bacterium. RNAcentral describes it as "partial 16S ribosomal RNA". It matches the Rfam family "Bacterial small subunit ribosomal RNA", at positions 524 to 776 of the family's 1533-position model. The record is from RNAcentral.